RNAcentral lists this unclassified non-coding RNA (1064 nucleotides) under Hevea brasiliensis (rubber tree). Lineage: Eukaryota; Viridiplantae; Streptophyta; Magnoliopsida; Malpighiales; Euphorbiaceae. The record is from RNAcentral.
GAGAAUUUGUGGUUGGAGUUGGCGUGGUGUGGUGGAUGCAAAAAUUGUGGUUUUGAUGUGUUAAACACGAUGGUUUUAUCUACUCAUGAGUUAAUUUUUGGAUGGUUUUUUAUUCAUUUUUCACUUCUUUGGACUUAAAUGGUGAUAAAGAUAGAUUUGAAUUUCUAAUGGUGAUCCUACAAGUUCAAAUUUGGGCUUGCUUCAGCAUAAAUUUGUUAGUUUUAGUGAUUGUUUUGAGCACUUUAAAUUACCUGAUAGUUGGGAUGUGUGUGUGCUGUGGAGUUAUGUAAGAAUUAGAACUGGUUGGAUACGAUUUUGUAUUCUUAUUGUUUUUGUGUGAGAGUGUUUUUGGUUUAAGCUAUAUGGCUUUCCAUCAUUCCUGUUGCGCAGUUCCAUUCUUUUAUAAGUUAUUUUUCUGCUUAAGGCUGGUUCAUCUAAUUCCUGUUGUAGUAGAAAUAUUCUCAAACAUAUAUAUAAUUCAAAAUUACCAUUCGUACAAAAUAUUUUCCUUGGCUAAUGAUAUCUUAUAUGGUAUAUAUCACCUGCUGAAUGCACUAAAAUGUUGAGAUGUGAGACUUAACUGUUUCAUUUCUAAUUUGGUCUCUUGUGGCAGUCAUUAUGUGGUCAUCUUAUCAAAUUUGCUUCUCCAUUUCCUGGCUAAUAGUGGAUAUCAGUUGUGGCAAUAAGUUGGGCUUGUAAAUUUUCAAGUGUUACAAGCAAUUUUUCCAGUUAUCAGCAUCUUUGAGCAGCAUCAUUUUUGCCAUUUUGGAUUCUGUAAUUUUCUUCUCACAGAUGCCAAAAUUCCAAUUUUGAGUGGUGUUCGUCUGCUAUUAAUGCGUUACUAUGCAUGACAACUUGUUUCGUAUUUUGUUACAUUUGAGUUGUUCACAUGAAGUUUGAGCAAGUGGUUGCGAUGUUGACACUGUUUUUGAUUCUCUGCAUACAGCCAUAAUGAAUGUGUGCUGUGUUUUUUAUACUCAGGGAUUGGGGGCAAAGAAAUUGACUAGCUAUGUCUUCAUCUUUUUCAGUUCUUCCUACUUCUCUUGAAGAUAAGUACUCCAAGU